RNAcentral lists this microRNA precursor (185 nucleotides) under Mustela putorius furo (domestic ferret). Its description in RNAcentral is "miRNA (ENSMPUG00000021879.1)". The record is from RNAcentral. Lineage: Eukaryota; Metazoa; Chordata; Mammalia; Carnivora; Mustelidae.
GGAGUGGAGUGGAAUGGAAUGGAGUGGAGUGGAGUGGAGUGGAAUGGAAUGGAAUGGAAUGGAAUGGAAUGGAAUAAAGAAAGAGCUGUUUGGGAGAUAAUUUUCAUAACAGCUCCCACAAUAUAUCCAUCUGUCUCUCCCUCUCCUUAUGUCUCCCUCCCUCUCCCUCUCUCUUCCUUUCUGUC